Molecule: long non-coding RNA, 3146 nt
Organism: Acinonyx jubatus (cheetah)
Lineage: Eukaryota; Metazoa; Chordata; Mammalia; Carnivora; Felidae
Exons: 3
Source: RefSeq, a predicted model, not a curated record
GUUACGCGCUCAGUCCCGCCCCCGGAGGAUCGCGGGCGCCGGCCGGGGUUGGGUCUACAGUGCUGGUUACCCUGAGCGAGUGAGCAGCGGUCUCAGCGGCUGUAGUCCUUGUUGACUCCGGCAGGUCGACGGUCCGAUCCCCGGCCUAAGGUCGCCUGGCCGCUCUGUUUCUCUCUUCUGCCGGUUCCUUGAGGUGAACACGCCCGCAGACCUCGAGUGGCCGGCCGAGACGGUGCUGCGCAGCAGAUUCAUUGUCGCGAAUGCCUUGUGGACCUCGCCGUCGAACCAGCAGCCCGCCGGGUUGUGCAAUUCUAGGGUCUAAACUUGAAGUGGGGAGCAGGUGGAUGCAGGAGAACUAAAGUUGCAGCAAGAAGUGAUCACCUCAGUGUCCUUGGUGGAGGAGGACACAGCUGUGCCUGAAGCAAGCCUUCCUGACUGUGGGGGUUCCUUGAAGUACGUCAUGGAUGAUGGAGGACCCCAGGGCCAUCCUCACUGUUACAGGAUUUGUCCAAUGCACCCAGGUGGCCACAUGAUUGAUGUUUUCUCAGGAAUAAAGCAUUACAUUGAAGAAUCUUACAUAAUUCAGAAGGUUUGACAUGCUAUGGAGAAAGAAAGGAACAUGGAACUUGGAAAUUAGCUGAACUCUAACUGUGAAGACACAGCUGAAGCUCUGGGAAAUAUUUUCUUGCUUGAAGUGGAUCUAUCCUUGCUUCCAGAGGGCAGCAGAGGAGGGGAAAUCAGCUUGGACACAUUUUUCAGGGCAUCUUGGUUUGUUGAAAAAGAGGUAUCAUGAUGCAUUUUAAUGUGCUUUAAGUUUAUUUUAAAAGAAAAGCAAAGAGUGAACACCAAGCAUGAAUGCUGUAGUAUUUACUGCUUUCAACCAUCUUGAACUGUUUGGUGCCAUUCAAAUCAAAGUUCUAUAAUAAUAAGAAGGUCUAUUCUACUGAAUUACUGUGACUAGAAUUAAACAUGUACUCAAACGCACACACUCACAUUCACACCUCCAUCUUUGAGCAUCACUGCCAUAUAAACUGCAGUGAAUUCCCAAACUGCAACUGAUCAUGUUAUUUAAUGAGUCAGAAAGCACUUUUAAAAUCACCUGAGGGAUGUGGCGUCUAGGUGGCUCAGUUGGUUAAGCAUCUGGACUCCUGAUUUCUGCUCAGGUCAUCAUAUCAUGGUGAGAUCAAGCCCCAGAGGUCAUGAUCUCAUGGUCGUGAGAUAGAGCCUCACGUUGAGUUCUAUGUUGGACUCCAUGCUGGGAGUGGAGCCUGUUUGGGAUUCUCUCUCUUCCUCUCUCUCUGCCCCUCCCCCGCUUGUGUGUGCACUCACUCUCUCUUUUAUUUUUUUUAAGUUUAUUUAUUUUUGAGAGAGAGAGAGAGACAGCAGGGGAGGGAGAGAGAGAGAGGGAGAGAGACAGAGAGGCAGAGAGACAGAGAGGGAAUCUCAAACAGGGUCUGCACUGUCAGUGCAGGUGCUCGAACUCAUGAACUGUGAGAUCAUGACCUGAGCUGAAACCAAGAGCUAGAUGCUUAAGUGACUGAGCCACCCAGGUGCUCCCUUCUCUCUCUCUUUAAAAAAUAAAAUAAAAUCACCUGAGGGCUACAGGUCAUUUUAUUAAUACCACUCCCAUUGGGUUGUAGACAUGUGGAUGUGCCAUUAUAAGGUAAGUUAGAGUUGAAAUAUUACUAAAAACCCUUUUCUUGAGAGCUUGCAGGAGAAUCUGGGAGCAGUAUUUUUUCUUUGCACCAUGUAGAGCUUACCUCCACAAGGUUCUGUUCUCAAGUACUCAAAGAAGAGGAACCUUUGCUGGUGUGGAUGGUGUUUCUGGUUGCCAUGGUGAUAAUGGUUUGGGGAUGUGUGGCGGUUGAUGAAAUAAAUAUUAACUUAUAGUAUUGAGUAUGUCCCAGGUGCUGGCUUGGUAUGAACUAUUCUGCAGAGACAAUGGCUGAGAAUGAACAAAGUGAAAACCGGUCUGGAACACAUAGGUAAGGGGUUGUGCAGAGUAGGGGGUAGGGGUCACAGCCCUGGCCAAUUUACCUAGGUUCAGAAGGUGUGAGGGGUUGGUGGUGUUUCACCAUAAGUAAUUUCACAGAAGAAUGGCUUUUGGAUGUUGAUGUAUUUUGUAGUUGGUAGAGAAGUCGGAGAGAGGGCACCCCAUCUGUCUGAAAGGAUCUGCAAAUCUCAAUAGACGUGACAGCCUGAGUGCUCUUAAGAAGGUGCCUGGCUUUCACAGGGCUCACUUUGAGCCUGCACGCAGGACUGAUUAAGACAAUAAAAAGAAUUGUUCUAAGGAUGGGGUAUUGGAAGAAUGAUGCACCUUGUAAUCUUGGGAAGAGGGUGGAUCUGGAGUCCACUGUGGAGUUACUUCACGAGAGUGGUGGUGGACUUGCAGCGUCUGGCUGAUGAGAUACCGGCCUUUUUUUAUGAAGUAUGGGCGUGGUUUCUGUGACUUUGUUCUAAGGGCUGGAAUUUCCAAGGAGCAGGAUUGUUAAGAUGUAGGUUCCUGUAAGAGUUGAUGCCUGGGGAGUGGACAAGUCCCCUUUUGUUACUGGGAAGUAUGUCUCUAGCGGCUGGAGUGGGUAUUACAGGCAUCUGGUAAGUGACGGGGUGGUUACAGGGGACAGCAGGCUGUAGCCACUCAUGAUCUUAAUGGAUGUAUUCCUUAUGGAGAGAUGUUAGAUUUUAUGGAUAGGUAUCCUCAUAAAGUGUGAUUGUUGAGUUUAAUAGUAGAUAUAUUUUUAUUACUUCUAUCAAUCUCCUUGUAGUUGGUAUUCCAAUGAGCGGUGUGUUACAAUAUUGCCUGCGUUUUAUGUAUUUGCAUAUUGAAAAUGUUGAUGACUCCCCUACAAAUUGUACGCUGGAACAUCCAAUUAGUUAUUAAUACAGUUUUAUUUUUGACAAUGAAAUAAGUGUCCUCCUGUGAUUCUUAGCUUAAGCCAGGGGGAGGGAGCCCUGUUUGGUACCAGUAGUGAGUAAUGAUAUGGGAAACUUUCAGCUGUUAAUGUUUGUCAGCCUUGCUCCUGGGCUCCCCAGAGAAGCUACAAUUUAACAUUUACCAAGGUCAGAAUGACCUGGCCGAACUUCAGAGCAUGGACUCUAUUUCUUCCCUGAGCACACAUUGUAUGUCUGCUUCAUUAAACAAACAU